RNAcentral lists this ribosomal RNA (450 nucleotides) under uncultured bacterium. Its description in RNAcentral is "partial 16S ribosomal RNA". It matches the Rfam family "Bacterial small subunit ribosomal RNA", at positions 354 to 796 of the family's 1533-position model. The record is from RNAcentral.
GUAGGGAAUCUUCGGCAAUGGACGAAAGUCUGACCGAGCAACGCCGCGUGAGUGAAGAAGGUUUUCGGAUCGUAAAACUCUGUUGGUAGAGAAGAACGUUGGUGAGAGUGGAAAGCUCAUCAAGUGACGGUAACUACCCAGAAAGGGACGGCUAACUACGUGCCAGCAGCCGCGGUAAUACGUAGGUCCCGAGCGUUGUCCGGAUUUAUUGGGCGUAAAGCGAGCGCAGGUGGUUUAUUAAGUCUGGUGUAAAAGGCAGUGGCUCAACCAUUGUAUGCAUUGGAAGCUGGUAGACUUGAGUGCAGGAGAGGAGAGUGGAAUUCCAUGUGUAGCGGUGAAAUGCGUAGAUAUAUGGAGGAACACCGGUGGCGAAAGCGGCUCUCUGGCCUGUAACUGACACUGAGGCUCGAAAGCGUGGGGAGCAAACAGGAUUAGAAACCCCGGUAGUCC